CGCAACUCAUCACCCUCUCUCCCCAACACCAUACCACCACCUCCGUUAUCGAUCUCCUCCGUUCUGUCAUGGGUUGUGGCGCUUCAGUUUUGGGUCCUGAGCACCAUCCCAACAACCCCUUCCACUACAAAGUCGCCCGACCCAUCAACGUCGAGGAGCCUCCCAAAGCCUCUCCUUCGCCCCUCAACAACGACGCCGUUUUCUCCUUCCGCUUCAUGCCGGCCGACCAUGACGAGGUCGGAGUCAAAGAGGCCAAGCAACAUGGCCCCGCAAAGCCUCCGUCCGUUAACGUUCUUCCACCCACCGUUGAGAUUGAGAGGGAUGAUGCCUUCUCCGGCGCUGCGUCCCCCAGUUUCAGGGAAUAUUGCGUCCACUCCGGAUCUUCCAGUGAUAUAGAACACUCCCACGAUGACCCUGACAUGGCCGAAACCACCGACAACAUGGGUAAUGACGAUCCAAUAUUGGUGGGCAAGAGCAAGCCAUCGAGGAAGGAAAUCACCAACCCCAAAAAGGAGUCUGAGAAGAAAGAGAGAAAAGGGAGAAGACUUAGGGAUGUUAUAAACAAGGGAAGAUCAGGUGGGAAGAAAAUUGGCAUCGUUCGCCAUAGAUCUGACAACAUAGCCGGAAGACUCACUUGAGAAGAGAAAAUGUGAAGAGCAAGUCCUUAAUUCUCAUCCAUCUUGCGAGUGUCGUGGGACUAUAGAGGAAUCAGGAUUGCUUUUUAAAAUCCUGAAUAUUCUCAUAUGACAUAUCACAUACCAGUUAUGGGGGUCAGAAGAAAAGUUUAUAUACAUACAUGCUUAUUCACCUGAAUAUUCUCAUACGACAUUUAACAUACCAACAGUUAUCGAGAGAAUUACCAGACACACGUGCGUGAUCUAUAUUAUAUUCAGAACUGAUGAUACGCUAAAUUUAAACACAGCCUUAGCCUGCAAUUCGCACUUCUCUCUACGAACAAAGUUAAGGGCAGGAAUUGCACCGCUAUAUUCUGUCCAAUGCUUUCAGAAAAAGCUCCUGGUCACAUGCCAAACCUUCGUACACAUAUAUAAGCAGAUAGGUAUGUAUAGUAGUAGAGCAUAGACUGGACGGUAUCGAUAAGCCAGGCAUAUACAAGAUUAGUAGCGUACCUAGUCAAUCAGCUCUCUUUGUAUUUGAAUUGGGGCGUCGAAGCUUGCUCUACAAGAUUAUAA
Molecule: RNA transcript, 1190 nt
Organism: Prosopis cineraria
Lineage: Eukaryota; Viridiplantae; Streptophyta; Magnoliopsida; Fabales; Fabaceae
Exons: 4
Source: RefSeq, a predicted model, not a curated record